This 377-nucleotide ribosomal RNA is filed under the name uncultured bacterium. RNAcentral describes it as "bacterial SSU rRNA". It matches the Rfam family "Bacterial small subunit ribosomal RNA", at positions 521 to 896 of the family's 1533-position model. The record is from RNAcentral.
UAAUACGGGGGGGGCAAGCGUUGUUCGGAAUUACUGGGCGUAAAGGGCGCGUAGGCGGGCAGGAUAGUCUCUCGUGAAAUCCCACGGCUCAACCGUGGAAUUGCGGGAGAUACUACUUGUCUUGAGUUCGGGAGAGGAGUGUGGAAUUCCCAGUGUAGCGGUGAAAUGCGUAGAUAUUGGGAGGAACACCGGUGGCGAAGGCGGCACUCUGGACCGAUACUGACGCUGAGGCGCGAAAGCUAGGGGAGCAAACGGGAUUAGAUACCCUGGUAGUCCUAGCUGUAAACGCUGAGCACUUGGUGUAGCGGGUAUCGACCCCUGCUGUGCCGAAGCUAACGCAUUAAGUGCUCCGCCUGGGGAGUACGGUCGCAAGGCUG